CCUACGGGUGGCUGCAGUGGGGAAUAUUGCGCAAUGGGCGAAAGCCUGACGCAGCGACGCCGCGUGAGGGAUGAAGGUCUUCGGAUCGUAAACCUCUGUCAGUAGGGAAGAUCAUGCCCUGUGCUAACCAGCAGUGAAUUGACGGUACCUUCCAAGGAACCACCGUCUAACGCCGUGCCAGCAGCCUCGGUAAUACGGAGGGUGCUAGCGUUAAUCGGAAUUACUGGGCGUAAAGCGCUCGUAGGCGGUAUGGCAAGUCAAGGGGGAAAUCCCCGCGCUUAACGUGAGAACUGCCUUUGAAACUGUCAAACUGGAGUGUGUGAGAGGAUAGUGGAAUUCCAGGUGUAGGAGUGAAAUCCGUAGAUAUCUAGAGGAACAUCAGUGGCGAAGGCGACUAUCUGGCACAUAACUGACGCUGAGGAGCGAAAGCGUGGGUAGCAAACAGGAUUAGAUACCCUUGUAGUC
Molecule: ribosomal RNA, 465 nt
Filed under: uncultured bacterium
Lineage: Bacteria
Description: partial 16S ribosomal RNA
Rfam family: Bacterial small subunit ribosomal RNA
Source: RNAcentral